AGUCUUAUAUUCAAAAUGAUAUCAAAUUGCAAAUUUGAAGGUGGGGAAACCCUAAGGCUU
RNAcentral lists this transfer RNA (60 nucleotides) under Prosopocoilus laterotarsus. Its description in RNAcentral is "tRNA-Cys". Lineage: Eukaryota; Metazoa; Arthropoda; Insecta; Coleoptera; Lucanidae. RNAcentral also lists the same sequence under 1 other name. The record is from RNAcentral.